UCUUUGUUUCGUUUAGAGUUAAAAUUCGUAUUCACUGUGCACCAGAAAGUAUAUCUUUCGUUCAAACUCGGUAGAAGAAUAUUUUGGGAACCUGGAAAUGUCCUCAAAACAUUGCCCCUGCAGGAAUUCAUCAUCAGAGCACUCAGGAGCAUUUAAAGAAAACGGUACAAAUUUCAAACAGUAACCAAAAGAGAAGUGAACAGGGAACAAGAGUCUGUCCAUGAAAAAGAGUCCAUCAUCUCAAGACUCGAACUCGCUGUCGCUGCUGACGGAGAUCUCUGGAGUUGAGGCUCCGGUUCCUCUGCGCUCUGUCUCUGUGCUACAGUCGCUGGCCUCUGGGCUGCCCAGGUGGCGAGGGGAGGCAGGCAGCAAGUGGGGGUGUUGGCGGCGCUCCUGAAGGGACCCAUCGGGGCAGCUUUCAGAGGGCAGGAGGGAAGAAUCCUGCUGCAGUCUGGGUGGAGGGAGAGAGGAGAAAGAUGAGAGCGAAGUCCCUGAUUGGAGUCUUUUUUAACAGUACAUGUGGCAGAGCUGCUCUUCAGACAGAUAUAACCUCUUUUGGUUUAGUCAAGCCCUGGAGGGCUGAGCUAAAAAAGUUUCUUUAGUGUGGCAAAGUAUGACACGCUGGAAUUUUUCCUCAUUAAUUUGCCUCAUAAUAUCAGUUGUUUGCCUUGUAACAGACCUUAACCCAUUUGACUGAAGGCAAAUUUAGUUUUUCACAUUAUUCUUAGAGAAGGUCUGCCUCUCAGAAAAUGUUUGUGCAACAAAGAUCGAAUGUAGUUAUAAUCCUUUGUAGUAAUAAUCAACAUAAUCGGAUAUCAUUUUUGAGAUACCUGUUCUUUGCGGAUGCGGCACGGUCUCUUUGACGACGGUUCUUGAACCAGUUGCCGACCUGUGUGGGCGUGAGUCCAGUGGCCUGGGCCAAAUGCCGUUUCCUGGAUGGGUUGGGGUAGGGAUCUUGCAGGUACCACUCUCUCAGCAAACUGCGAGUUCUUUCCUGGAGAAGACAGAGACAUAUAUGGCAUAUUUAGGCUUCAAUGAUUAGUAAGUGUAAGUGUACAUAUGUUAUGCCAACUCUUCUUUUCUGUCAGAAUGGAUGCGUAGCAUUUUGAAAAGACACCAUAUGGAAGCUGGCCACAAUAAUGUGGUUAAUGUGGUUUUGAUAUCAUCCUAGUAAACCACCCUAAUCUUAUCAAUCUCAUAUGAUGCUCAGUAUAAUCUUGUUAGACUAGAUUCAUAAACAGAUGAUCACAUUGUACAUUCUAAGUAUACAUAAAAAUGUAUAUCCACUAAACUGGAUCAUGCUUAAGGGGCUUAAUAGGAUGCUGCAGAGGCUGGGGUUUGGAAUUAGAGAUUAAGUGCAUUUAUGAACAUUACUUCACCCUGCCACAAGAGGGAGAUC
Molecule: long non-coding RNA, 1399 nt
Organism: Xiphias gladius (swordfish)
Lineage: Eukaryota; Metazoa; Chordata; Actinopteri; Istiophoriformes; Xiphiidae
Exons: 3
Source: RefSeq, a predicted model, not a curated record